ACGGAAGGCAGCAGUGAGGAAUAUUGGUCAAUGGACGCAGGUCUGAACCAGCCAAGUAGCGUGAAGGAUGACGGCCCUAUGGGUUGUAAACUUCUUUUACAGGGGAAUAAAGUCGCCCACGUGUGGGCGUUUGCAUGUACCCUGCGAAUAAGGAUCGGCUAAUUCCGUGCCAGCAGCCGCGGUAAUACGGAAGAUCCGAGCGUUAUCCGGAUUUAUUGGGUUUAAAGGGAGCGUAGGCGGGCUGAUAAGUCAGUGGUCAAAGCGUGUGGCUCAACCAUACCACGCCGUUGAAACUGUCAGCCUUGAGUGCACGCGAGGAUGGUGGAAUUCGUGGUGUAGCGGUGAAAUGCUUAGAUAUCACGAAGAACUCCGAUUGCGAAGGCAGCUGUCCGGAGUGCAACUGACGCUGAUGCUCGAAAGUGCGGGAAUCAAACAGGAUUAGAUACCCUGGUA
RNAcentral lists this ribosomal RNA (453 nucleotides) under uncultured Paraprevotella sp. Its description in RNAcentral is "bacterial SSU rRNA". It matches the Rfam family "Bacterial small subunit ribosomal RNA", at positions 341 to 792 of the family's 1533-position model. Lineage: Bacteria; Pseudomonadati; Bacteroidota; Bacteroidia; Bacteroidales; Prevotellaceae. The record is from RNAcentral.